RNAcentral lists this long non-coding RNA (1616 nucleotides) under Paramuricea clavata. The record is from RNAcentral. Lineage: Eukaryota; Metazoa; Cnidaria; Anthozoa; Malacalcyonacea; Plexauridae.
AUACUUUUUAGGGUAUUGGAGUUGAAAUCAACGAUCCUUUCGAUCGAUAUCGAAAAAACAUGAGCUACACUUACAAUCGUCGUAAGUAAAACUUUUAUUUCAUACAUUAUUGCAUACAUAUGUUGAUUUUUUUAAAGGGAGAUUGAUUUAAACGUACUAAAAAAAUGGUUUUCAGAAUGGGCUCGUUCCGAAACAGCUUUUUCCAGUAUUUUCUAGGAAGUUGAAUACCUUUUCAAAGAUUCCCCCAAAUGAAGAGGGUACUUUGGAUUGGGAUGAUUAUAAUAUAGCUUCCAUAUAGUCGGAACGUGGUAGUCAAUUUAGACAGUCGUCUGCUAUGAGCCGUUUUGUAAUGACUAGACUAAGCAUACAUGAAAUGGCCAGCAGUGUCCACCACCAAAAAUUGACUAUCAAAAAGGCGACUGGCAACAAAAACUGGCAUGUGCGCACUAAACAUAUUAAAUCAGGUUGUGCAUACUGCUCACAUGAGUCCUGCCAGUGGCGAAGCUAGGUCAUGCAUGCUAUGCAAAUUUUUAAUGAUUUACACUAUUCAAACCUUUAAAAAUGUAUUGUCUUUAACCUACUUGGAUGUAGGUUUAUAGCAUAACAUGACGAGUUGCCAUGGCUAGCCAUUGAGUCCUGCUCAAUUUAUUCCACUUGUAUAUAAUGUUAGUUUUGUUGGCUGAAGCUUUCUUAUCAUCAUAAUUUCUUUUAGCACGUAGAGAUCGGGAUCGGAAGUAGAUAGAAGCUGGUAAUGAAAUGAUUUCUGAUGAACUGGAACGUCCAUGAAUUUCCAUGAAUACAGUAUAGCGUCGUAGUUGUGCAAGAUAUUGUGACCAUGCGACAAACCACAUCUGAUAAGGCAACCUAAGACGUCAUCGUUUGAAAACUAGACCCAUGAGCUUGUUCAUGCAAGAUGCUGCCUCGUACUAGGGUGAGGCGGUUAAUCGGUAAACCGGAAAACCGAUGUUUUCUGAAAACCGAUUCAACCGGUGUUGUUCUAGGGAAAAAAAAACAGAAAAAAAUUCGGAAAAACUAUUGAAACAAAAUUGCAGAAUGCCAAAAUCACCGCGGUAGUCUAACAUUUUCUGACGAAACUUCGAACUUUCAAACGUUAAAAACGUGAGAAAAUAGCGCACCUUACCGCUUACAUAUCAAGGCAGUACCAUACCAUUAAUGUAAUUUUUUUAAACUAAAAUCUUGAGCGUGUAGCAUGAAGUUUAAUCUAACUGUAAUAUAUUUUGCCAUAAAAAUCGGGUUUUUUUCAGAUUGUUUUCGGUUUUUACCCUGAACCGUCUCAUCGUACCUCGUACCCAGUCGCUUUGCUAACGUUAGGGAGACGCCUGGGUACGAGGCGGCGUGGUGGAACAUGUUCUGUAAGAUUGAUCAUACAUUAUGAGAAAUAUUUUAUUGGCGCAUGCUACCAGAAAGCACAUUCUUUUCGGAGCCCUGUUUGCUCCAAAAGAUUUUAGAGCUGUGUGUUGCAGCAAUAAGACGCGCUUGUACAAAUAACUAAAUUAAAGACAAAUCGUUUUAACGGUGUUAUACGUAUUCAAUGUCAAACAUGCAUCAACGAUAAACGCCAGUGACCGUGGAGUGUGUUUCGAAGUCAACGGGGG